UUUCCCAUCGGAGCUUGCUCCACCGGGAAAAGAGGAGUGGCGAACGGGUGAGUAACACGUGGGUAACCUGCCCAUCAGAAGGGGAUAACACUUGGAAACAGGUGCUAAUACCGUAUAACAAUCGAAACCGCAUGGUUUCGUUUUGAAAGGCGCUUUACGGUGCCGCUGAUGGAUGGACCCGCGGUGCAUUAGCUAGUUGGUGAGGUAACGGCUCACCAAGGCCACGAUGCAUAGCCGACCUGAGAGGGUGAUCGGCCACAUUGGGACUGAGACACGGCCCAAACUCCUACGGGAGGCAGCAGUAGGGAAUCUUCGGCAAUGGACGAAAGUCUGACCGAGCAACGCCGCGUGAGUGAAGAAGGUUUUCGGAUCGUAAAACUCUGUUGUUAGAGAAGAACAAGGGUGAGAGUAACUGUUCACCCCUUGACGGUAUCUAACCAGAAAGCCACGGCUAACUACGUGCCAGCAGCCGCGGUAAUACGUAGGUGGCAAGCGUUGUCCGGAUUUAUUGGGCGUAAAGCGAGCGCAGGCGGUUUCUUAAGUCUGAUGUGAAAGCCCCCGGCUCAACCGGGGAGGGUCAUUGGAAACUGGGAGACUUGAGUGCAGAAGAGGAGAGUGGAAUUCCAUGUGUAGCGGUGAAAUGCGUAGAUAUAUGGAGGAACACCAGUGGCGAAGGCGGCUCUCUGGUCUGUAACUGACGCUGAGGCUCG
RNAcentral lists this ribosomal RNA (710 nucleotides) under Enterococcus mundtii. RNAcentral describes it as "bacterial SSU rRNA". It matches the Rfam family "Bacterial small subunit ribosomal RNA", at positions 73 to 755 of the family's 1533-position model. Lineage: Bacteria; Bacillati; Bacillota; Bacilli; Lactobacillales; Enterococcaceae. The record is from RNAcentral.